GAUGAACGCUGGCGGCGUGCUUAACACAUGCAAGUCGAACGAAGCACUUUAUUUGAUUUCCUUCGGGACUGAUUAUUUUGUGACUGAGUGGCGGACGGGUGAGUAACGCGUGGGUAACCUGCCUUGUACAGGGGGAUAACAGUUGGAAACGGCUGCUAAUACCGCAUAAGCGCACAGCAUCGCAUGAUGCAGUGUGAAAAACUCCGGUGGUAUAAGAUGGACCCGCGUUGGAUUAGCUAGUUGGUGAGGUAACGGCCCACCAAGGCAACGAUCCAUAGCCGACCUGAGAGGGUGACCGGCCACAUUGGGACUGAGACACGGCCCAAACUCCUACGGGAGGCAGCAGUGGGGAAUAUUGCACAAUGGGCGAAAGCCUGAUGCAGCGACGCCGCGUGAGCGAAGAAGUAUUUCGGUAUGUAAAGCUCUAUCAGCAGGGAAGAUAAUGACGGUACCUGACUAAGAAGCAC
RNAcentral lists this ribosomal RNA (467 nucleotides) under uncultured bacterium. Its description in RNAcentral is "bacterial SSU rRNA". It matches the Rfam family "Bacterial small subunit ribosomal RNA", at positions 28 to 493 of the family's 1533-position model. The record is from RNAcentral.